This is a long non-coding RNA of Gallus gallus (chicken), 3855 nucleotides long. The record is from Ensembl. NCBI's taxonomy places the organism in Eukaryota, Metazoa, Chordata, Aves, Galliformes, Phasianidae.
CUCUUUUACAAGAAAGAGGGGAGACCGAGUACAAGCAUACUCUUACAACCAACUCUUGCCCAACAAACCACUGGGAGGACACAGCCUUCUCAGGCUACGGACUCAAGGAGCGAGGUGGGAAGGGUCUGCAGAGGGAUUCUGGAGCACCCCCGGCCAGGCAUAUCGUAGGAGACUGCCAACAUUUCAAACAUUUCCUUGAUGUAGGAUGAUCACAAUUGAAAGGAAUGUGAAUUUUAUCCAGCCGUCGGUCAGUCUCCUUUUCAACGGGAGUGUUUUUUGCCCCACUGCCAAGACCACUCACAGAUGCAAGGUGAUGGGAAUGGAAGUAUCAAGCCCAACUCCCCAACAACCAUGAAUCCAUAUUAAUGGAGAGCAAAUGUCCUGCCAAAAGCAAGACUGAUGAAAAAGAGAGACAACUGUCUGCUCACCACCUCCCUCAGCCCCCAGUGUCUCCAAGGUAUUUUUCAGGAAACAUGAGGGAUGAUCUGGACGACUGUUUAAUUUGGAGAAAAUCCUAGAAGGAUUCUAUGUUCCCCAUGGCUAGUUGGAGGGAGAAGCACUUACCUGGUAAUAUCCAAACUUAACCCGAGCUGAGAUUUUAGCCUCAAGCCUUGAUUAAAGACUAGUAAUUAAGACUAACUAUUCUGAAAUAGGUAGGAAAGAGAUUAAGUGAAGGAAUCUCUUGAGAUACUUGUCUCUCCCUUUCUGGAGGGAUUGUGGAUUGCCAGCCUGGGUCUGGAGGCCUGAUUUUCUGGCAGCUAAAAUUAGGCAAGAGGUGUCUGAGUUUCUGCACCAGAGCUUCUCCCUUUCGAACAGGGAGUACAAUUCAUUUCUGCUUUGCAAGGGAGUCACAAGGCUGAAUACAACAGCAGCAGCAGGUUGUUCAUAUGCUGCACUCCUGAGUGCCAAAAAGAGAAGAAAAGCCUGCAUAUAACAAGCCUGAGCACCUCAGCGCUUCACAGCUUUCAUGCCAAAAAGAGAAGAUCAGCAUCUCCCAAAAUAUAAUUAACUGUUCUUUUUAUUUGAGCUGUUAAAGUUUCCACAUCAGACUCCUUAUUCUUUUUUUCCAGGAUUCAGCUAAAUAAAUCCCAGUGAGGGUUAUGUUUUAGGAAAAUAUUCCCAAUAAAUACCAAUGAACUUUUGAUCUCUGAAGUUAUUCUAAACUCGUGGCUUAAUGAUAACUAAUAAUAAUAAUGACUGUUAACUCUCACAACUCCCAGCCCCUACAAUACUUUUUGCCAAAAUCAUAUCAAUCAUACAGCACAGGUGGGGGACCAACUGACUGCUGCAAGGGACCUGGGAGCCCUGAAAGAGCCAGCAGUGCCUGUUGGCCACAAUGAAAGCCAACAGAGCACUGCACCAAAAGGAGCACAGCCAGCAGAUACAGAGAAGUGAUUAUUCUCAUCUGCUCUGGGCUUGUCAAAGCAUAACUAGACACUGUAUCCAGUUUUGAGCCCCCUAGUGCAAGGAAAGACACCAACUACAUUGAAUGAGUUCAGCAGAGGGCCACCACUGUGCUGGAGCAUUUGGCCUGGGAAGAGAGGCUGAGGAACCAGGUCUCAUCCAGCCUAGAGAAGAGAUGGCUUCUAGGGGGCCUAUCAGGAGCCCACUGGUACCUGCAAGGAUGUGGUUCAGAAGACUGAGCCAGGCUUUCCACAGACAUGCAUAGUAGGAGGAUGAGACACAAAGGCUGUGUGCUGCAAUAGAAGAUGUUCUGACAUCAUGUGAGAAAGGUCAUCUUCCCUGUAUGGACAGCCAAGCAGCCAGUGGAGCAAGUAGCACCAACAGGUCAUGCAGUCUUUACCCUUGAAGACUUAAAAGAUCAACUGGACAAAGCUCUCAGUGACCUGUUCUUAUCCCUGCUUUGAGCAGUUUGGCUAGGAGCAGCUGGGUGAGCUCAAGAGGUCCCUUCCUACCUCAAUCAUUCUGUAAACCUUGUACUAUAAACUGUAAUUUGUCAUGAAAGUCACAGAAACAUUGGCAGACAUCACUGUACAGUUGGCAAGAACAUGGAGUUGGUAAAUUAUGCAUCUCCACUAACAUCAUAUUCACCUAGUUCAAGAUCUUAUGAAGCAAGAACUCAAAGGUUAUCAUCACAGUUGUGUGAGUAGUCAGGACUAAAUGCUGAUCUACCAAGAUCUGGUCAGGAGCCAGGUGAAGUAAGUGGAAAGUCUGAGGGUACAUAUCAGCUGACUUGGGAUGUAGAUAUCCAAACCUGAACUCAUUAUUGGCAACUGAUUGACCGCCCACCAAGAGAAGUCUGUCCACAUAUUUAGACAGAAAUCUAAAAUAGUUCUGACUGAGUGCCAAACACAUUUACUCUCCUGACUACAAAGGGAGUCUGUCUGACUGCUCUGGAUACAGCCAUGUAUAGUGCUGACCUUUCAAGUGAGAUGAGAUAGAUCCUACCCCUACUGACUUCAGCUGGGGGAUGGAUUAUGCUUGGAGCCAGUUGUGGUCAGCGUAGUCAGACUCAGAAAUAAAGCAUACAAACUCCACACAGAAAUGCACUUCUGGUGCAGUUUUCCAUUUAGAGUUCUAUUCCCAUAGUUCUGUAAUCUUCAUUAUUUACCAGCAGAAAUUCUUUCUUGUCUUGGGUACUACAGGCUUGAGGGCUACAGGAAGAAACUGAGUGAAAUUUCAUAGUGGAAAGCAUGAUUUUCUCAUGAAAAGGAAAAUACCUGACUCUACUAGCAGACCUUACAAGUAAUGCAUGUACUGUGAGAUAGAAUAGCUUUUCAGUGAUCCCAGGCCUACAUACACUGUGGCUGAGCAGUAUAAGCUUGUACUCAUGCACCACAGAAAUGGGAAAAACCUUCCUCAUUACUGCAGGAAAGGCUUCCAGCACAGGUAAAGAAAUGUGUGCCUGGCACUGACCUUGGGACAUUGUCCAUGCAGGAGGUGCUCCUGCACAGAGCAGACGGAGAUGGGCAGCAGGCAGGGAGCCUGCUCUCACUGAAGAUGCUGGGGUUAACUCUGUAGCUUCACAGUCCAUUUCUGCUGGCAAGAGAAUGAGGCCACAUGAAGGGAAUCGAGAUGCUGAUCCAUGUUAAAAAUAGCCACGUGGGAGGCUGGACAGAGAGCAGCACAGCAGCUGGCUGCUCCCAGCAGGCGAUGCCCAGAAAGCAGGAGGAAGGGUGAGACUGCUCUUCUCAGCACCACAGUGGCCAGGACUCUGCUGCAGUGCAAUCCCUGAGCUGAGCCUGUGCCAGGGAGGAUCUUGGUGACCCCGCAUACACCCUUGUUGGGGAACCAUCAUAUAGAAGAGAGCGACAGACUUCGAAUGACAGACAGCAUUGCUCCCACGCCCUGAAAACGGGUGUAGCCCGGGCUGUAGUGUGCUGAGGCUGGAAUUUAGAAUAAGCUUUCAUUUCCUCUUCUUUCAGUCUUCAGCAUUUUUUGCCUCCAAAAAUAAAACAAUUGGUGUUAAACCACCUUCAGUGUUUCUUGCAAAACGGCUUCUCUCUCAUCGCCUUAGUGAUCGAGGUGUAGUAGUACAGAGAUUUAAGUGAUAAGCAGGUCUUGGAAAGAAACAUUAGCUUUCAUGAGGAAAAGUGAAAUAACAGACGGCUUUUUGAGUACAUAGGUCUGAAGAAAUGCUGGAUGCCCAACUCCUGCCUGUAUCCUCACUGUGAAUAUGCCAACAUACUGGCUAUUGUUGACUGCCCCAAUCAACACUCAUUUUGGUGCUGUUUAAAGAUCUUACCUCCCUCUGUCCAUGCUUCUACUCCUUUUACUUUGUUUUAUAGUGGCUGAUCUCUCAAUCCCUGAGCCAUGCCACUUGCCUUGGUCACAUGAAGAGUCAGUGUUGGCUUAUGAGUGGGGGCAAGCAGAGUGCUGAAUUCCCCAGCUGAC